This 336-nucleotide unclassified non-coding RNA is filed under the name soil metagenome. RNAcentral describes it as "partial contains 5.8S ribosomal RNA, internal transcribed spacer 2, and large subunit ribosomal RNA". The stretch from base 1 to 120 matches the Rfam family "5.8S ribosomal RNA", at positions 35 to 154 of the family's 154-position model. The record is from RNAcentral.
GAUGAAGAACGUAGCGAAAUGCGAUAAGUAAUGUGAAUUGCAGAAUUCAGUGAAUCAUCGAAUCUUUGAACGCACAUUGCGCCCGCCAGUAUUCUGGCGGGCAUGCCUGUUCGAGCGUCAUUUCAACCAUCAAGCCCCAGGCUUGUGUUGGGGACCUGCGGCUGCCGCAGGCCCUGAAAACCAGUGGCGGGCUCGCUGUCACACCGGGCGUAGUAGAUUUUAUCUCGCUCAGGGCGUGCUGCGGGUUCCGGCCGUUAAAAAGCCUUUUUUACCCAAGGUUGACCUCGGAUCAGGUAGGAAGACCCGCUGAACCUAAGCAUAUCAAUAAGCGGAGGA